AUUGCUUUACAUAAUGCACUGAGUUUAGUAAGUCUUUUACACUGGAAGCGUAAUAUUAUGCAUUUACCGAGGAAACUUUGAACAAAAGUUAAUUGCUUGUUUGUUUUAUACAAGGAAAAUUUUAUCAUUCUUAGUUACAUAAAAAGAUAUUGCGUAAUAGGUAACAAACAAACAAAAAUAAAAGCUCUUAUUUUUUAACAUCAGUUAAAUGAGGGCAGAAAAUUUUAGACUAAAAUUUUUACAACUUUAAAAUAGUAUGAUAUAGUUCCAUAAAGAAGUUAUAACACAGUGACUAGUAUAUAGUACAUAUUAAUAUAUAAGCUGGGGAAAGAUUUGCAUCGUGUUUUGGUGGGAGCGCCGUCAGCGCCCAUGCGGGGCCGUCCAACGCUAGGACUGUGUGAGCCUCGCUAAAUGCCACGCCGCCAGGUAUCGCGCGAGACAAACACCAUAGUGUCUCGGCCUCACCCCCACCACCAGCAGAACACACCAUAACCAAUGAACCUGAUAAAAAAAUGUUCUCCAUUGUAAUUCACGAGGAAGUCAAAAGUAUUGUUAGCUAUUACCAUUAUAGGAAACAUAGCACUCAAUUAAAUCACUAUUUUCAAAUUAUAUUAGAAUUCAACAUGGCAGGAGGCAAGUUUACCACUUCAAUAUAAUAUUUUAUAUGUA
Molecule: long non-coding RNA, 669 nt
Organism: Galleria mellonella (greater wax moth)
Lineage: Eukaryota; Metazoa; Arthropoda; Insecta; Lepidoptera; Pyralidae
Exons: 2
Source: RefSeq, a predicted model, not a curated record